Molecule: ribosomal RNA, 468 nt
Filed under: uncultured bacterium
Lineage: Bacteria
Description: partial 16S ribosomal RNA
Rfam family: Bacterial small subunit ribosomal RNA
Source: RNAcentral
GACGAACGCUGGCGGCGUGCUUAACACAUGCAAGUCGAACGGAAAGGCCCUGCUUUUGUGGGGUGCUCGAGCGGCGAACGGGUGAGUAACACGUGAGUAACCUGCCCUUGACUUUGGGAUAACUUCAGGAAACUGGGGCUAAUACCGGAUAGGAGCUCCUGCUGCAUGGUGGGGGUUGGAAAGUUUCGGCGGUUGGGGAUGGACUCGCGGCUUAUCAGCUUGUUGGUGGGGUAGUGGCUUACCAAGGCUUUGACGGGUAGCCGGCCUGAGAGGGUGACCGGCCACAUUGGGACUGAGACACGGCCCAGACUCCUACGGGAGGCAGCAGUGGGGAAUAUUGCACAAUGGGCGGAAGCCUGAUGCAGCAACGCCGCGUGCGGGAUGACGGCCUUCGGGUUGUAAACCGCUUUCGCCUGUGACGAAGCGUGAGUGACGGUAAUGGGUAAAGAAGCACCGGCUAACUACGUG